UGGGGAAGAAGGGGGGACCCCACUGGGUUGUG
RNAcentral lists this small RNA (32 nucleotides) under Bombyx mori (domestic silkworm). RNAcentral describes it as "ovarian small RNA-35034". The record is from RNAcentral. Lineage: Eukaryota; Metazoa; Arthropoda; Insecta; Lepidoptera; Bombycidae.